This 388-nucleotide ribosomal RNA is filed under the name uncultured bacterium. Its description in RNAcentral is "bacterial SSU rRNA". It matches the Rfam family "Bacterial small subunit ribosomal RNA", at positions 28 to 417 of the family's 1533-position model. The record is from RNAcentral.
GACGAACGCUGGCGGCGUGCUUAACACAUGCAAGUCGAGCGGUAAGGCCCUUUCGGGGGUACACGAGCGGCGAACGGGUGAGUAACACGUGGGUGACCUGCCCUUAGCUCUGGGAUAAGCCUGGGAAACUGGGUCUAAUACCGGAUAUGACUCCAUGACGCAUGUUGUGGGGUGGAAAGCCUUGUGCGGCUAGGGAUGGGCCCGCGGCCUAUCAGCUUGUUGGUGGGGUGANGGCCUACCAAGGCGACGACGGGUAGCCGGCCUGAGAGGGCGACCGGCCACACUGGGACUGAGACACGGCCCAGACUCCUACGGGAGGCAGCAGUGGGGAAUCUUGCGCAAUGGGCGAAAGCCUGACGCAGCGACGCCGCGGUGGGGAUGACGGCCU